This is a long non-coding RNA of Camelina sativa (false flax), 678 nucleotides long. RefSeq lists it as uncharacterized. NCBI's taxonomy places the organism in Eukaryota, Viridiplantae, Streptophyta, Magnoliopsida, Brassicales, Brassicaceae. The record is from RefSeq and is a predicted model, not a curated record.
AGUCCACUUCUUAUUUACUUAUCCCUCUCAUCAUUCUCUUCAUCAACACAUUCACUCAUCUCUCUCUCUCUUUCUCUUCCUUGAUCUCAGCCGGAUCUGAUGGGGGACGAACACAGGAGAGAUAGAAAAAAUAUAUAAGAAAUUUCUAGAAAAAAAAACCCUAAUUGAAAAAAGGAUAGAGGGAUUUCUCUUUUGAGGGGACUGUUGUCUGGCUCGAGGACUCUUGUUCUAAUACAAUCUCAUUAUUUGGAUAGUUUCAGAUCUGAUGAUUGAUUAGGGCUUUGGUGUCGUCGGACCAGGCUUCAUUCCCCCCAAUUAUUACUCCCUCUCAAUCCGAACCAACUAAGAAGUUUCGUCCCUUUCUUCAGCUGCGUAUCUAGGGUUUCCAUUUUUUUCUUAAUCCAAUCUAUAUUUAGUUCAAUGUGAAAAAAGUUUUGAUGUUGGUUCAAAACUUUUUUCGUAUUAUACGUCUUCUAGAUCUUCUGAGUUUCAGUUUCUUCAAGCAUGGAUGGACGAUCAAGAAACUUAAUCGGAUAUUUUCACAUUUUCCAAUAUUGUAAUAUGUAAUAAUGUUGUUCUGAUCUAUUCGUUUGAUUGACUUAUCGUAUACCACAGUCACUUAUGUAUUUUUUUUGAACGUAAGACGAAUUUUAAUACAUCACCCAGUAUCAGGAACUC